CCCUCUCCGCGUUCGUUUGAACAUUCAACGCCCACAAACUCUGAACCGGACAACUCAAUCUGGGUCUUGUUCUUCUUCCGCUAAUCUAAUGCCAAUAGCGAAAUAGGGUUUGGAGUUUUAAUUCUCUAUCUGAUGCAUAAUCUGAGCCCUCUGGACCCCCGGAUUCCGACCAAUCCGGUGCCACCACGAUGUCAACCAGCCCUUGUUGCCACACUCUCUCCCUCCACCCAUCUCCUCCUCCUCUCAAUUGCAGGGUUAGGGGGAGGGUUUUGAAGCCUCCCAUACCCGCCAAAUUCUCUCUCCAUCGAAGCCUACUCGUCAUUCGCCCCCUCUCUUCCUCUCCAACAACUAAAUGGAGAUUUUCGUGCCUUUGGCAUGAAGAGUCUUCAUCUGGAAUACCCGAGUCUGAGCUUCUAGAAGAGAAAUUUUCAGAAGAAUUAGUGAAGCCUGAACUCAAUCGAAUAGAUGCACAGAAAGAUUGGCUUUGCAGACUCAGAAAGUUUUGUGGGAAUCGUGACUGAUGAAUUGAAGUUGUAGCCCUUAAGGGAAGAGUGAUUCUGAAUGCUUUCUCUCUCUCUCUCUCUGUGUAAAAUAACUAUUCUGAUCUCCAUGCAUCAGUUUGGUCGGUGUGGAUGCAUUACUUUGUUGCAGACUGAAAAGGAUUUCUGAUCUCUUUUUUAUAUUUUCCAUGCCAUAGGAACGAUUGUGGUUACAAAUACACUUUUUGGUGCGGAACCUUGGACGGUACCAUGGACAGCAAAGACCAUAGUGCAGGUGAAGCAUUUUCUUCAUGUAACUUGGAUAUUAUGUAACUGUCAUCCUUUAGUUUUGUGUUUUCUGGCUACUAGUUACCAUAGAGAUUCAUGUGUAAAUUGCAAUUAUUGAAGCCAAUCCACUUAACAACUCAUGCUCAGAAUUCCUAGUUUCUGAAAUGACUAUAUAAUCUGUGCUGCUUUCAUUUCUCCACUAUGCCUGUUGCCAUUCCCUUUUGGUUAGAGUAAUACUAUCUCUGCCUACUGGGCUGAAUUUCUUGUCAGAGGGGCACUCUUUACACGUAGGCAUAUACUAGGAGUUGUCUACGUGACAGUUCCGGUCCUUUAGUGUUAUCGGGGGUUCUAGAGUCCACUUUAUAGUCACCUCUAGUUAUGUUAA
Non-coding RNA from Corylus avellana, 1152 nucleotides. Lineage: Eukaryota; Viridiplantae; Streptophyta; Magnoliopsida; Fagales; Betulaceae. The record is from RefSeq and is a predicted model, not a curated record.